UAGGGAAUCUUCCGCAAUGGGCGAAAGCCUGCCGGAGCAACGCCGCGUGAGUGAUGAAGGUCUUCGGAUCGUAAAACUCUGUUAUUAGGGAAGAACAAAUGUGUAAGUAACUACGCACGUCUUGACGGUACCUAAUCAGAAAGCCACGGCUAACUACGUGCCAGCAGCCGAGGUAAUACGUAGGUGGCAAGCGUUAUCCGGAAUUAUUGGGCGUAAAGCGCGCGUAGGCGGUUUUUUAAGUCUGAUGUGAAAGCCCACGGCUCAACCGUGGAGGGUCAUUGGAAACUGGAAAACUUGAGUGCAGAAGAGGAAAGUGGAAUUCCAUGUGUAGCGGUGAAAUGCGCAGAGAUAUGGAGGAACACCAGUGGCGAAGGCGACUUUCUGGUCUGUAACUGACGCUGAUGUGCGAAAGCGUGGGGAUCAAACAGG
Molecule: ribosomal RNA, 429 nt
Filed under: Actinomycetes bacterium
Lineage: Bacteria; Bacillati; Actinomycetota; Actinomycetes
Description: Actinobacteria bacterium partial 16S ribosomal RNA
Rfam family: Bacterial small subunit ribosomal RNA
Source: RNAcentral